AGCUAUGAUGUUCUGUAUGCAUUGCAUGCUGGAAAUUACCGACCGAGGCAUCUGUCACUGAGGUUAUCAAAGGCUAAAUCUGAGC
Molecule: non-coding RNA, 85 nt
Organism: Blumeria graminis
Lineage: Eukaryota; Fungi; Ascomycota; Leotiomycetes; Helotiales; Erysiphaceae
Source: Rfam